UGACCGUGCGAAUAUUUGCACCAUGGGCGCAAGCCUGAUGCAGCCAUGCCGCGUGUAUGAAGAAGGCCUUCGGGUUGUAAAGUACUUUUCUCAAUGAGGAAGGCGGAUACGUUAAUAGCAAUUUCGUUUGACUUUAGCUGCAGAAGAAGCACCGGCUAACUCCGUGCCAGCAGCCGCGGUAAU
Molecule: ribosomal RNA, 183 nt
Filed under: uncultured bacterium
Lineage: Bacteria
Description: partial 16S ribosomal RNA
Rfam family: Bacterial small subunit ribosomal RNA
Source: RNAcentral